GAUUCUGGCUCAGAACGAACGCUGGCGGCAUGGAUUAGGCAUGCAAGUCGAACGAGGUAGCAAGUACCGAGUGGCGGAAGGGUGAGGAACGCGUGAGCAAUCUGCCCUCCAGUUGGGAAUAACAGUUGGAAACGACUGCUAAUACCGAAUGUGGCUCGUUGGUCGCAUGACUGACGGGCUAAAGAUUUAUCGCUGGAGGAUGAGCUCGCGUCCCAUUAGCUAGUUGGUGAGGUAACGGCCCACCAAGGCGACGAUGGGUAGCUGGUCUGAGAGGACUGGUCAGCCACACUGGGACUGAGACACUGCCCAGACUCCUACGGGAGGCUGCAGUCGAGAAUCUUGGGCAAUGCGCGAAAGCGUGACCCAGCCAAUGCCGCGUGCGGGAUGAAGGUUCUUCGGAUUGUAAACCGCUGUCAACCGGGACGAACACUAAUGACUGUACCGGUGAAGGAAGCCACGGCUAACUACGUGCCAGCCGCAGC
This 482-nucleotide ribosomal RNA is filed under the name uncultured bacterium. RNAcentral describes it as "bacterial SSU rRNA". It matches the Rfam family "Bacterial small subunit ribosomal RNA", at positions 15 to 518 of the family's 1533-position model. The record is from RNAcentral.